GGGAACCAUUUCAUUUUAGGAAUCCCCCCCCCACCAUGGGGACUGGUUUCAAAAACUCCUGGUCAGCACAAAAGGUUCUAUAGCACCUCCACAUCUGCCCCUCGUGGCUGCAACUGCUCCUGUGUCCACCUCCUCUCAACUUCAAAUACCACCCCAAAAGUUGAAGAGAAGUCCUGGGCUUGACUCAUUAGUUCUGUUGGGCUAUAUGCACAUCUCUGAACUAAUAUGGUGGCCAAAGGAAUGAGCUGUUGAAUAAGUUAAAUCAUUCAAAACCAAUUCUGCAGCCCACGUGAGCAGAAGAAAAAGGAAUGGAGACCUUCCUAGAGCAGCUCCCAUGUGUCUUCCCAGAAGGUGUUAAAGAGAUACUUUGGUGGGGAAACAGACAGAUACUUAAAGGCACAGAGAUCCAAGUUCCUAUGCCACAGGUGACUGGAUCACACCAAAGUCCCUGGAAUCCUGAGGUUCUCCGAGCUCAGAUGCGUCAAGGAGAGGCACAACAUCCAUACUGCCAGGCUCUGGGCCCCUGCCUCUGGCCAGAGCCUGCCUCCAGCUUUCCCUCCUGCUGCACCACUGGAAUAUCCUCCCUCACCAUCCCUGCCCAUGGACCCUGCUCAGUCUUUUGAGCCUUCGCCUCCCUCCCUCCUGGCACCCUCUGCAUUAUGGAGAUCGGCCUGAAACUGCUUUUUUAUUUGGAUCGACUCCCACUAAGUCGGUAAACAGGAAGGGGCCUCUGAAAUGCCAGCCCCAGGGAAUCCAGUAAACAACUCCUUCCUUCAAGGGCACUAAUGUUUCACCUGGGAAGAACGUUU
This is a long non-coding RNA of Fukomys damarensis (Damara mole-rat), 809 nucleotides long. RefSeq lists it as uncharacterized. The record is from RefSeq and is a predicted model, not a curated record. The transcript is spliced from 3 exons. NCBI's taxonomy places the organism in Eukaryota, Metazoa, Chordata, Mammalia, Rodentia, Bathyergidae.